UUCCGGUUGAUCCUGCCGGACCUGACUGCUAUCGGAUUGAUACUAAGCCAUGCGAGUCAUUGUAGCAAUACAAGGCAUACGGCUCAGUAACGCGUAGUCAACCUAACCUAUGGACGGGAAUAACCUCGGGAAACUGAGAAUAAUGCCCGAUAGAACACUAUACCUGGAAUGGUUUGUGUUCCAAAUGAUUUAUCGCCAUAGGAUGGGACUGCGGCCUAUCAGUUUGUUGGUGAGGUAAUGGCCCACCAAGACUAUUACAGGUACGGGCUCUGAGAGGAGUAGCCCGGAGAUGGGUACUGAGACACGGACCCAGGCCCUAUGGGGCGCAGCAGGCGAGAAGACUUUGCAAUGUGCGAAAGCACGACAAGGUUAAUCCGAGUGAUUUGUGCUAAACGAAUCUUUUGUUAGUCCUAGAAACACUAACGAAUAAGGGGUGGGCAAGUUCUGGUGUCAGCCGCCGCGGUAAAACCAGCACCUCAAGUGGUCAGGAUGAUUAUUGGGCCUAAAGCAUCCGUAGCCGGCUCUGUAAGUUUUCGGUUAAAUCUGUACGCUUAACGUACAGGCUGCCGGGAAUACUGCAGAGCUAGGGAGUGGGAGAGGUAGACGGUACUCGGUAGGAAGUGGUAAAAUGCUUUGAUCUAUCGAUGACCACCUGUGGCGAAGGCGGUCUACCAGAACACGUCCGACGGUGAGGGAUGAAAGCUGGGGGAGCAAACCGGAUUAGAUACCCGGGUAGUCCCAGCUGUAAACUAUGCAAACUCAGUGAUGCAUUGGCUUGUGGCCAAUGCAGUGCUGCAGGGAAGCCGUUAAGUUUGCCGCCUGGGAAGUACGUACGCAAGUAUGAAACUUAAAGGAAUUGGCGGGGGAGCACCACAAGGGGUGGAGCCUGCGGUUCAAUUGGAUUCAACGCCGGG
Molecule: ribosomal RNA, 914 nt
Filed under: uncultured crenarchaeote
Lineage: Archaea; Thermoproteati; Thermoproteota
Description: bacterial SSU rRNA
Rfam family: Archaeal small subunit ribosomal RNA
Source: RNAcentral